This 391-nucleotide ribosomal RNA is filed under the name Duttaphrynus melanostictus (Asian common toad). RNAcentral describes it as "partial 12S ribosomal RNA". It matches the Rfam family "Bacterial small subunit ribosomal RNA", at positions 794 to 1399 of the family's 1533-position model. Lineage: Eukaryota; Metazoa; Chordata; Amphibia; Anura; Bufonidae. The record is from RNAcentral.
GCCUAGCCGUAAACUUUUAUUUACACCCAAUCGCCAGGGAACUACGAGCUAAGCUUAAAACCCAAAGGACUUGACGGUACCCCAUAUCCCCCUAGAGGAGCCUGUCCUGUAAUCGAUAAUCCACGUUAAACCUCACCAUUUUUAGUUAAUCAGCCUGUAUACCUCCGUCGUCAGCUUACCACGUGAGCGCCAAUUAGUGAGCUUAAUGUUUUUCACCAAUACGUCAGGUCAAGGUGCAGCAAAUAAAGUGGGAAGAGAUGGGCUACACUCUCUAUUUUAGAAAAAACGAAAAACUACCUAUGAAACCUAGUUAGAAGGCGGAUUUAGCAGUAAAAAGGAAUCAGCAUGUCCCUUUUAAUCCGGCACUGGGGUGUGUACACACCGCCCGUCA